Molecule: long non-coding RNA, 357 nt
Filed under: Elaeis guineensis (African oil palm)
Lineage: Eukaryota; Viridiplantae; Streptophyta; Magnoliopsida; Arecales; Arecaceae
Description: long non-coding RNA (EGUI_LNC002026)
Source: RNAcentral
UGCCUUGCCAUGAUAAUCUUGGUGAAGGAGAGGUAGGCACCCCCAUCAUGCACCAAAAGGAGGGGUUGGGCCCCUCUAGUGCAGCUCGAUCUACAUGGGUUUAAAUAAGCCCCACUUAGUUUCAUUUUUCUGCACAAUUGUUUAGUGAUAAUUGUUUUAGCAGACUCAACCGGUUGGCACCUCAAAAAGGGAUGCUUCUUUUUCCAAAAGGGUUGGCUGAGGUAGGUUUUUGGUUGCAACGUAUACCAUCAUAUAAUACCUAAUGUUUCUCCACGAGCAAUCCUCCAAUAGCCUUCCUCCAUUUGCAUCAAGGAAGAGCAAUGCUAGAAUAAUUACAAAAAAAAAAAAAAAGUUACG